GGGUUGUGAGGUUAAGCGACUAAGCGUACACGGUGGAUGCCCUGGCAGUCAGAGGCGAUGAAGGACGUGCUAAUCUGCGAUAAGCGUCGGUGAGGUGAUAUGAACCGUUAUAACCGGCGAUUUCCGAAUGGGGAAACCCAGUGUGUUUCGACACACUAUCAUUAACUGAAUCCAUAGGUUAAUGAGGCGAACCGGGGGAACUGAAACAUCUAAGUACCCCGAGGAAAAGAAAUCAACCGAGAUUCCCCCAGUAGCGGCGAGCGAACGGGGAGGAGCCCAGAGCCUGAAUCAGUGUGUGUGUUAGUGGAAGCGUCUGGAAAGGCGCGCGAUACAGGGUGACAGCCCCGUACACAAAAAUGCACAUGCUGUGAGCUCGAUGAGUAGGGCGGGACACGUGGUAUCCUGUCUGAAUAUGGGGGGACCAUCCUCCAAGGCUAAAUACUCCUGACUGACCGAUAGUGAACCAGUACCGUGAGGGAAAGGCGAAAAGAACCCCGGCGAGGGGAGUGAAAAAGAACCUGAAACCGUGUACGUACAAGCAGUGGGAGCCUCUUAAUGGGGUGACUGCGUACCUUUUGUAUAAUGGGUCAGCGACUUAUAUUCUGUAGCAAGGUUAACCGAAUAGGGGAGCCGAAGGGAAACCGAGUCUUAACUGGGCGUUAAGUUGCAGGGUAUAGACCCGAAACCCGGUGAUCUAGCCAUGGGCAGGUUGAAGGUUGGGUAACACUAACUGGAGGACCGAACCGACUAAUGUUGAAAAAUUAGCGGAUGACUUGUGGCUGGGGGUGAAAGGCCAAUCAAACCGGGAGAUAGCUGGUUCUCCCCGAAAGCUAUUUAGGUAGCGCCUCGUGAAUUCAUCUCCGGGGGUAGAGCACUGUUUCGGCAAGGGGGUCAUCCCGACUUACCAACCCGAUGCAAACUGCGAAUACCGGAGAAUGUUAUCACGGGAGACACACGGCGGGUGCUAACGUCCGUCGUGAAGAGGGAAACAACCCAGACCGCCAGCUAAGGUCCCAAAGUCAUGGUUAAGUGGGAAACGAUGUGGGAAGGCCCAGACAGCCAGGAUGUUGGCUUAGAAGCAGCCAUCAUUUAAAGAAAGCGUAAUAGCUCACUGGUCGAGUCGGCCUGCGCGGAAGAUGUAACGGGGCUAAACCAUGCACCGAAGCUGCGGCAGCGACACUAUGUGUUGUUGGGUAGGGGAGCGUUCUGUAAGCCUGUGAAGGUGGCCUGUGAGGGUUGCUGGAGGUAUCAGAAGUGCGAAUGCUGACAUAAGUAACGAUAAAGCGGGUGAAAAGCCCGCUCGCCGGAAGACCAAGGGUUCCUGUCCAACGUUAAUCGGGGCAGGGUGAGUCGACCCCUAAGGCGAGGCCGAAAGGCGUAGUCGAUGGGAAACAGGUUAAUAUUCCUGUACUUGGUGUUACUGCGAAGGGGGGACGGAGAAGGCUAUGUUGGCCGGGCGACGGUUGUCCCGGUUUAAGCGUGUAGGCUGGUUUUCCAGGCAAAUCCGGAAAACCAAGGCUGAGGCGUGAUGACGAGGCACUACGGUGCUGAAGUGACAAAUGCCCUGCUUCCAGGAAAAGCCUCUAAGCAUCAGGUAACAUCAAAUCGUACCCCAAACCGACACAGGUGGUCAGGUAGAGAAUACCAAGGCGCUUGAGAGAACUCGGGUGAAGGAACUAGGCAAAAUGGUGCCGUAACUUCGGGAGAAGGCACGCUGAUAUGUAGGUGAAGCGACUUGCUCGUGGAGCUGAAAUCAGUCGAAGAUACCAGCUGGCUGCAACUGUUUAUUAAAAACACAGCACUGUGCAAACACGAAAGUGGACGUAUACGGUGUGACGCCUGCCCGGUGCCGGAAGGUUAAUUGAUGGGGUUAGCGGUAACGCGAAGCUCUUGAUCGAAGCCCCGGUAAACGGCGGCCGUAACUAUAACGGUCCUAAGGUAGCGAAAUUCCUUGUCGGGUAAGUUCCGACCUGCACGAAUGGCGUAAUGAUGGCCAGGCUGUCUCCACCCGAGACUCAGUGAAAUUGAACUCGCUGUGAAGAUGCAGUGUACCCGCGGCAAGACGGAAAGACCCCGUGAACCUUUACUAUAGCUUGACACUGAACAUUGAGCCUUGAUGUGUAGGAUAGGUGGGAGGCUUUGAAGUGUGGACGCCAGUCUGCAUGGAGCCGACCUUGAAAUACCACCCUUUAAUGUUUGAUGUUCUAACGUUGGCCCCUAAUCGGGGUUGCGGACAGUGUCUGGUGGGUAGUUUGACUGGGGCGGUCUCCUCCUAAAGAGUAACGGAGGAGCACGAAGGUUGGCUAAUCCUGGUCGGACAUCAGGAGGUUAGUGCAAUGGCAUAAGCCAGCUUGACUGCGAGCGUGACGGCGCGAGCAGGUGCGAAAGCAGGUCAUAGUGAUCUGGUGGUUCUGAAUGGAAGGGCCAUCGCUCAACGGAUAAAAGGUACUCCGGGGAUAACAGGCUGAUACCGCCCAAGAGUUCAUAUCGACGGCGGUGUUUGGCACCUCGAUGUCGGCUCAUCACAUCCUGGGGCUGAAGUAGGUCCCAAGGGUAUGGCUGUUCGCCAUUUAAAGUGGUACGCGAGCUGGGUUUAGAACGUCGUGAGACAGUUCGGUCCCUAUCUGCCGUGGGCGCUGGAGAACUGAGGGGGGCUGCUCCUAGUACGAGAGGACCGGAGUGGACGCAUCACUGGUGUUCGGGUUGUCAUGCCAAUGGCACUGCCCGGUAGCUAAAUGCGGAAGAGAUAAGUGCUGAAAGCAUCUAAGCACGAAACUUGCCCCGAGAUGAGUUCUCCCUGAGACUUAGAGUCUCCUGAAGGAACGUUGAAGACGACGACGUUGAUAGGCCGGGUGUGUAAGCGCAGCGAUGCGUUGAGCUAACCGGUACUAAUGAACCGUGAGGCUUAACCUUACAACGCCGAAG
RNAcentral lists this ribosomal RNA (2925 nucleotides) under Escherichia coli. Its description in RNAcentral is "bacterial LSU rRNA". It matches the Rfam family "Bacterial large subunit ribosomal RNA". Lineage: Bacteria; Pseudomonadati; Pseudomonadota; Gammaproteobacteria; Enterobacterales; Enterobacteriaceae. The record is from RNAcentral.